This is a small nuclear RNA of Nomascus leucogenys (northern white-cheeked gibbon), 104 nucleotides long. The record is from Ensembl. Lineage: Eukaryota; Metazoa; Chordata; Mammalia; Primates; Hylobatidae.
GUGCUGACUUCAGCAGCACAUACACUAAAAUUGAAAUGCUAUAGAGAUUAGCAUAGCCUCUGCGCAAGGAUGACACGCAAAUUCGUGAAGCACUGCAGAUUUCU